Molecule: long non-coding RNA, 651 nt
Filed under: Cyanistes caeruleus (blue tit)
Lineage: Eukaryota; Metazoa; Chordata; Aves; Passeriformes; Paridae
Description: lncRNA (ENSCCEG00000005376.1)
Source: RNAcentral
CAGACCUUUGUUCACCUUCUAGCACUGGAAAUACUGCCUUGGGACUUCUAGAGCACUAGAAAUUCCUUAGAGACCUUUUCCAGUCCUCCAAAGUUGUUCAGAAAAUUCUCUGGAGAUCUGAGGAAAUUAACAAGAAAAGACCAUAAUUGUGAAUCUGGCUGCCCUGAAAGAGCAAUGAGAAGCCUGUCUUAUUGCAUUUGAUACCAUCUUAGAGCCACAGCAAACUACAGUAAGGGAAUGUGCAAAUAUCCAUGGGUAUCCUCUACUGCUGGAAAAGAAAGGAAAAGUCUCAGAGUAUCCAACUGUCUGAGUACCCAGACCUGCCACUGUCUGCUGGAGGAAGGACCUUGCAGACCAGGGAGUUUCUACCACUCUGACUCUGCUCACACUGUUUGUAUGACAUGUAUGGGUGAUCCAAGAACUAUAAAACCUGCUGAACUGAUUGUCUGCAAAUGCUUACCACCUUCAUCAAAAUACUUCAAGAGGGAUACUGGUAAAUUCUCCAGUGCAGAAACAGCUGCAGUUGCAAAAACUUAUUUUGUAUUGGACACCAGAGAAUCAACAGUUAAGUUGUGGAAAAGAAGGAAAAAACGUUUUCUAAAAGUUAAGGACUUUUCAAAACUGACAUAUACACCAUAUUAAAAAUCGAAC